This 200-nucleotide long non-coding RNA is filed under the name Elaeis guineensis (African oil palm). Its description in RNAcentral is "long non-coding RNA (EGUI_LNC080498)". The record is from RNAcentral. Lineage: Eukaryota; Viridiplantae; Streptophyta; Magnoliopsida; Arecales; Arecaceae.
UGGGUAGGUUCACAACCAAUUGUUUCUCCAAACAAUUUUUAGUAAUCAAAUUUUACCCUAGGCAUCCUUUCAGCAGGCGUGUGGCACUUCCACUGAAAAUUUUGGUUAGAUUCAACCAUUAAUAUGAUAAUAUCAAGUGUAUCCAACAAAAUAGAUAUCCAGGCCCAAGUAUAGCUCGGCCAACUUGAGCAUUAGUCUGA